Molecule: ribosomal RNA, 482 nt
Filed under: uncultured bacterium
Lineage: Bacteria
Description: bacterial SSU rRNA
Rfam family: Bacterial small subunit ribosomal RNA
Source: RNAcentral
GAUGAACGCUAGCGGCAGGCUAAUACAUGCAAGUCGAACGGUAAGUUGGGUAGCAAUACCUGACCUAGAGUGACGUACGGGUGCGUAACACGUAUGCAACCUACCCUUUACUGGAGGAUAGCUCGGGGAAACUCGGAUUAACCCUCCAUAAUAUAAUUGGAUGGCAUCAUUUGAUUAUUAAAACUCCGGUGGUAAAGGAUGGGCAUGCGUCUGAUUAGCUAGUUGGCGGGGUAAUGGCCCACCAAGGCGAUGAUCAGUAGGGGAACUGAGAGGUUGAUCCCCCACACUGGCACUGAGAUACGGGCCAGACUCCUACGGGAGGCAGCAGUAGGGAAUAUUGGUCAAUGGAUGCAAGUCUGAACCAGCCAUGCCGCGUGCAGGAAGACGGCCCUAUGGGUUGUAAACUGCUUUUGUCAGGGGAUAAAACAGCUCUGCGGAGCAAAUUGAAGGUACCUGACGAAUAAGCCACGGCUAACUACGUG